RNAcentral lists this ribosomal RNA (374 nucleotides) under uncultured organism. Its description in RNAcentral is "bacterial SSU rRNA". It matches the Rfam family "Bacterial small subunit ribosomal RNA", at positions 526 to 896 of the family's 1533-position model. The record is from RNAcentral.
CGGGGGGAGCAAGCGUUGUUCGGAUUUACUGGGCGUAAAGGGCGCGUAGGCGGCCACCGCAAGUCGACUGUGAAAUCUCCGGGCUUAACCCGGAGAGGUCAGCCGAUACUGCGGGGCUAGAGUGCAGAAGGGGCAACUGGAAUUCUCGGUGUAGCGGUGAAAUGCGUAGAUAUCGAGAGGAACACCUGCGGCGAAGGCGGGUUGCUGGGCUGACACUGACGCUGAUGCGCGAAAGCUAGGGGAGCGAACGGGAUUAGAUACCCCGGUAGUCCUAGCCUUAAACGAUGAAUGCUUGGUGUCUGGGGUUUUAUAGUCCCCGGGUGCCGUCGCUAACGCUUUAAGCAUUCCGCCUGGGGAGUACGGUCGCAAGACUG